RNAcentral lists this ribosomal RNA (449 nucleotides) under uncultured bacterium. Its description in RNAcentral is "partial 16S ribosomal RNA". It matches the Rfam family "Bacterial small subunit ribosomal RNA", at positions 29 to 523 of the family's 1533-position model. The record is from RNAcentral.
AACGAACGCUGGCGGCAUGCCUAACACAUGCAAGUCGAACGAGACCUUCGGGUCUAGUGGCGCACGGGUGCGUAACGCGUGGGAAUCUGCCCUUCGGUUGGGAAUAACUGAGAGAAAUUUCAGCUAAUACCUUAUAAUGUCUUCGGACCAAAGAUUUAUCGCCGAGGGAUGAGCCCGCGUAGGAUUAGCUAGUUGGUGGGGUAAUGGCCUACCAAGGCGACGAUCCUUAGCUGGUCUGAGAGGAUGAUCAGCCACACUGGGACUGAGACACGGCCCAGACUCCUACGGGAGGCAGCAGUGGGGAAUAUUGGACAAUGGGCGAAAGCCUGAUCCAGCAAUGCCGCGUGAGUGAUGAAGGCCUUAGGGUUGUAAAGCUCUUUUACCCGGGAUGAUAAUGACAGUACCGGGAGAAUAAGCUCCGGCUAACUCCGUGCCAGCCGCCGCUGUAA